AGAAAGCUCACAUAUCUUGUUUAAUUUUUCAGGAAGUAAGUUUCUCUUUAAUUCGGUUAAGCUAUGUUCCUUCGUCGCAGAGCUAGAAAGAAAAUUUUCAUAGACCAAUAAAUAUUUUGCUAUGUAUCUAGAUGUAUAAAAAUCUAUGUAUAUCUAUUAGUUAGUGACUCCGCAGUUGUAGAAUUUGUAUACAAUUAGUCGUGUAUUAACAUA
This 213-nucleotide long non-coding RNA is filed under the name Jatropha curcas. RNAcentral's name for it is "long non-coding RNA (JCUR_LNC002465)". Lineage: Eukaryota; Viridiplantae; Streptophyta; Magnoliopsida; Malpighiales; Euphorbiaceae. The record is from RNAcentral.